This 96-nucleotide transfer RNA is filed under the name Streptomyces nigrescens. RNAcentral describes it as "tRNA-Asp". Lineage: Bacteria; Bacillati; Actinomycetota; Actinomycetes; Kitasatosporales; Streptomycetaceae. The record is from RNAcentral.
GGGUCGGCCAGCGCGGCGGCCAGGUGCCGGAGGUUGUCGAUCUCCGCCUGGACGGCCUGCUGGUACUCGUUGGCGGUGCCGUCGUCGCCGGCCUUC